RNAcentral lists this small RNA (124 nucleotides) under Marmota monax (woodchuck). The record is from RNAcentral. Lineage: Eukaryota; Metazoa; Chordata; Mammalia; Rodentia; Sciuridae.
UCUGGGAGUGGUGGCGCACACCUGUAAUCCGAGCAGCUUGGAGGCUGAGGCAGGAGGAUCACAAGUUCAAAGCCAGCCUCAGCAAAAGCAAGGCGCCAAACAACUCAGUGAGACCCUGUCUCUG